GACGAACGCUGGCGGCGUGCUUAACACAUGCAAGUCGAACGAUGAAGAAGAGCUUGCUCUUCGGAUUAGUGGCGAACGGGUGAGUAACACGUGACUAACCUGCCCCUUUCUCCGGGAUAACGCUCCGAAAGGAGUGCUAAUACUGGAUACUCACAUCGAGGCACAUGCCUUGAUGUGGAAAGUUUUUCGGAAAGGGAUGGAGUCGCGGCCUAUCAGCUUGUUGGUGAGGUAACGGCUCACCAAGGCGACGACGGGUAGCCGGCCUGAGAGGGCGACCGGCCACACUGGGACUGAGACACGGCCCAGACUCCUACGGGAGGCAGCAGUGGGGAAUAUUGCACAAUGGGCGAAAGCCUGAUGCAGCGACGCCGCGUGAGGGAUGAAGGUCUUCGGAUUGUAAACCUCUUUCAGUAGGGACGAAGCGAAAGUGACGGUACCUAAAGAAGAAGCACCGGCUAACUACGUGCCAGCCGCCGCGGUAA
RNAcentral lists this ribosomal RNA (482 nucleotides) under uncultured bacterium. RNAcentral's name for it is "partial 16S ribosomal RNA". It matches the Rfam family "Bacterial small subunit ribosomal RNA", at positions 28 to 523 of the family's 1533-position model. The record is from RNAcentral.